This 253-nucleotide unclassified non-coding RNA is filed under the name uncultured delta proteobacterium. Its description in RNAcentral is "contains 16S-23S intergenic spacer region". It matches the Rfam family "Bacterial small subunit ribosomal RNA", at positions 524 to 776 of the family's 1533-position model. Lineage: Bacteria; Deltaproteobacteria. The record is from RNAcentral.
UACGGAGGGUGCAAGCGUUGUUCGGAAUUAUUGGGCGUAAAGCGCGCGCAGGCGGACCAUUAAGUCUGGUGUGAAAUCCCUCGGCUCAACCGAGGACGUGCAUUGGAUACUGGUGGUCUUGAGUCCUGGAGAGGGUGGCGGAAUUCCCAGUGUAGAGGCGAAAUUCGUAGAUAUUGGGAGGAACACCAGUGGCGAAGGCGGCCACCUGGACAGUGACUGACGCUGAGGCGCGAAAGCGUGGGUCACGAACCGG